Molecule: ribosomal RNA, 471 nt
Filed under: uncultured bacterium
Lineage: Bacteria
Description: partial 16S ribosomal RNA
Rfam family: Bacterial small subunit ribosomal RNA
Source: RNAcentral
GACGAACGCUGGCGGCGUGCUUAACACAUGCAAGUCGAACGAUGAAGCGGUGCUUGCACCGUGGAUUAGUGGCGAACGGGUGAGUAAUACGUGAGUGACCUACCUUUGACUCUGGGAUAAGCCUGGGAAACUGGGUCUAAUACCGGAUACGACCAAUCUCUGCAUGGGGUGUUGGUGGAAAGCGUUAUGGAGUGGUUUUAGAUGGGCUCACGGCCUAUCAGCUUGUUGGUGAGGUAAUGGCUUACCAAGGCGACGACGGGUAGCCGGCCUGAGAGGGUGACCGUCCACACUGGGACUGAGACACGGCCCAGACUCCUACGGGAGGCAGCAGUGGGGAAUAUUGCACAAUGGGCGCAAGCCUGAUGCAGCGACGCCGCGUGAGGGAUGACGGCCUUCGGGUUGUAAACCUCUGUUAGCAUCGAAGAAGCGAAAGUGACGGUAGGUGCAGAGAAAGCGCCGGCUAACUACGUG